Molecule: ribosomal RNA, 452 nt
Filed under: uncultured bacterium
Lineage: Bacteria
Description: bacterial SSU rRNA
Rfam family: Bacterial small subunit ribosomal RNA
Source: RNAcentral
AGCGAACGCUGGCGGCAUGCUUAACACAUGCAAGUCGCACGGGCAGCAAUGUCAGUGGCGGACGGGUGAGUAACGCGUAGGAACAUGUCCAGUGGUGGGGGAUAACGUUGGGAAACUGACGCUAAUACCGCAUGAGCCCUGAGGGGGAAAGCAGCGAUGCGCCGAUGGAGUGGCCUGCGUAGGAUUAGCUUGUUGGUGGGGUAAUGGCCUACCAAGGCUACGAUCCUUAGCUGGUCUGAGAGGACGAUCAGCCACAUUGGGACUGAGACACGGCCCAAACUCCUACGGGAGGCAGCAGUGGGGAAUAUUGGACAAUGGGGGGCAACCCUGAUCCAGCAAUGCCGCGUGUGUGAAGAAGGUCUUUCGGAUUGUAAAGCACUUUCGACGGGGACGAUGAUGACGGUACCCGUAGAAGAAGCCCCGGCUAACUUCGUGCCAGCAGCCGCGGUAAU